GAUGAACGCUAGCUACAGGCUUAACACAUGCAAGUCGAGGGGAAACGAUAUUGGAAGCUUGCUUCCGAUAGGCGUCGACCGGCGCACGGGUGAGUAACGCGUAUCCAACCUGCCCACCACUUGGGGAUAACCUUGCGAAAGUAAGACUAAUACCCAAUGAUGUCCAUAGAAGACAUCUGAAAUGGAUUAAAGAUUUAUCGGUGAUGGAUGGGGAUGCGUAUGAUUAGCUUGUUGGCGGGGUAACGGCCCACCAAGGCGACGAUCAGUAGGCGUUCGGAGAGGAAGGUCACCCAAAGUGGAACUGAGACACGAUCCAAACUCAUAGGGGAGGCAGCAGUGAUGAAUAUUGGUCAAUGGGCGAGAGUCUGAAACAGCCAAGUAGCGUGCAGGAUGGCGGCCCUAUGGGUUGUAAUCUGCUUUUAUAAGGGAAUAAAGUGAGCCUCGUGAGGCUUUUUGCAUGUACCUUAUGAAUAAGGACCGGCUAAUUCCGUGCCAGCCGCGGCGGUAA
Molecule: ribosomal RNA, 508 nt
Filed under: uncultured bacterium
Lineage: Bacteria
Description: partial 16S ribosomal RNA
Rfam family: Bacterial small subunit ribosomal RNA
Source: RNAcentral